UUUCAUUGAAUUCUUGCGAUG
RNAcentral lists this non-coding RNA (21 nucleotides) under Caenorhabditis elegans. The record is from RNAcentral. Lineage: Eukaryota; Metazoa; Nematoda; Chromadorea; Rhabditida; Rhabditidae.